This 15347-nucleotide long non-coding RNA is filed under the name Triticum aestivum (bread wheat). Its description in RNAcentral is "long non-coding RNA (TAES_LNC000543)". Lineage: Eukaryota; Viridiplantae; Streptophyta; Magnoliopsida; Poales; Poaceae. The record is from RNAcentral.
AGGGAGUAUAAAACAGACUAAAGGAAAACUAUCGGUGAUUACUGUAAUACUUCUAAAUGGGUGUUGGCCUGGACGCUCGGCAGAGUAGAAAUCGUGUACAUCAUCGUCCGAACCACGCCAUUGGUCGCUUCUCCAUCUUCAUUUGCUGUUUUGGACAAGCUUAAUUCAACGACACACACCGCAUGCUGACGCACAAGAUGCCCUGGUAAAGUAUACAUUAUGACCUAAGAGGUUAUGGAUUGGUAAUAGUAGUAUGUAUUAGAGAGAGAGAGAGAGAGAGAGAGAGAGAUGGUGCAUGUUACGUUGGUUUCUAGGGAAACUGUAAGGAACUGAUGUGACUCGACCUAAACAUGUGGGCCAAAAAUAAACCCAUGAAACAACACUUCCACGCUGUCCAGGAUGGCCCAAUUUAAAGGCACGUUGGAUUAGAGUCCAGUAUGUAAACGCAUGUAACAAGAAUACCUUAAGAGAUCGUACAAAACUAGGUUAUAGAAAGAAAGGACAUGCCUAUAUAAACAACUGCCGUGGCACAAAUAGACCUAAAACUCAAUCUCUUCUCAGGAGCACCAACAAAAUCGACAGAACAUACGCUUUCAAUUCAAGGUACGACAACAGUCAAACAACUUCUAAAUUCAGGUAUAGUUCUUCUCCCUCUCUCUUAAUCCUCAGUUACAAUCUUAUUCUAGCGUGAUACUCUACUAUAUUUUGGGGUUGUGUGGCGGCUCCCAUAGGGCUCAAGUCCAUUAAGAAGCACAGGGUACUGCAGGGAAUUCACUUGCAGUUUAUAGAUCAGAUGAGGGUUCCCAUAAUAUUUAGUAUCACUACCUCAUUAAAUUUGUCCAAAAAGAAAACCUCAUUAAUCAGGUAUAGAUUGCUUCGGUCAGCUUGUACCACAAAGAGAUUGGAACAUAAAAUCCUUUUAUCAGUAAAAAUUUCUGCAAAAUCACUGGUCUUGAAAAGUGAUCUCCUUUAAUUAUACGACCACAAAUAUAUUUUAUAAGUUCAUUUAAGGUAAUAAAAAUAUUGAAUCUUCAUAAACUUAUAAAAUUAUUUUAUAACUUGAGUGUUAUUUCAAGUGCCGGGGCAAUGUACUCCCCUGUACAACAAGCACAUUAAUCUUAAUCACCGUCCAUCGGCCACCAGACCACGAUUUGUCUGUAACAAUAUUAUAAUAUCGUUCACUUUGGUUUACAUUUGAAAUCUCCAUUAUGCAGGAACACAACAUGAAAAGAAAAGGUGGGCCACAUAGCAAGGAAUGUGAGAAACCUGCCAAGGUGGUUAAAACAAAUCAAAUAUGCACUCCAACAAGGUGAUCCAUUACUAAUCUUGAAUAUUUUAUAUGUGAAAUCCCACUAAUAUUUUAAAAAACAAAGCAAUUCCAGUUACGCACUCUGAGGUUCCUAAUUGGUUGUAGCUUUCACGAGAAAAACUAUAUUUUAAUUUUUAAUCUUAUUGAUGCAAAUCCAGACAAUCAGCAAAAAUCGCAAGAUUGGAAAGGGUAAUGAAACUUCAAGAGAAUAAAAACAGACGAUCUUCAAUCAUACAUGGAGGUCUGCCAGAUUCCGCGAACAUACACAAAGGACAACCUUUGCUCCACGUGAAGUAAGAAAAUCUUCACGAAGUUUCUCUCUUAUGCAUCUUAUCAUCCAUUUGGUUCAAUUAUAUUUCUCAAUUCAAAUGCUAAACUUUAACAUUAAUGAUGCAUGGCUGGUAUUACAUCAUACAGGAAGCAACUGUUAGAGUUAUAAUAUAAGUCAUGUACCCCUUUGUAUUUAUCCCAUUGUAUAAGGGGUUUCCUGCAUAUGUUCCACACCUGUACAUGUAUAUAUAUCGGCCUAUGGCCUCAUGGGAAUACAGGUUGCAUAUUUCCUAACAUGGUAUUAGAGCCCUAUGGUUUUUUUUCGCACACCGCAACUCGUGCUCUUCUGAUCCCAUCUCUUGCUGCCGCUAUCCUUCGUCGGCCGGCCGUCGUUGUUCCUCUCACCCACACACUCACGUGCUGUGCUCCCUCCCUCUCUCGUCGCUGCUUUUCCGUGCCUCAAACCGCUGCCGCCGUCCAGAUCGCCCCAACCCAUCUCGCUGCAGAUCGACGCCGCUUGGAUUGGGGCGGGCCCCUGCGCCGCCGUCCGCCACUUGCCCGCCUCCGUCGCUGUCCGGCAGCCGUCCUCUCGCCAGCCCGCCGUGUAGCGCGUGCAGGAAGUCAGCCGCCGCUGCGAUCGGUUCGUGGCCUCUUCGUGCGUUGACCUGGACAUCGUUCCUUUGGGCCACGCCUUGGACGAUUUUUGGGCCUGGCUGGCUGUUGGCCUGCUGCCUUGGGCAUCUGCUGUAACUCCUCACGCCACGUCGUUCUGGUGGCUUGGCUAGCUUGUGCUUGUCCACUUGCGGCUGCUGCACCAUCUUCCUCCCGUGCAGGCCCGUGACGUGGUGCAUCAGCCUCCUCCACUUGUUGUCAUCUGAUCUGCUCCGCCGCCGCCUACUGGUCCCGAUCUGAUUUGCUCGGCCGCUCUGUUGGCUGUUUGACUGGUUGCCUUCUGUAAAAAAAAAAAGAAAAAAAAAAGCAUAAUGUUGUCGGUGCUUGGUGCUCGUCCGUAUGUGCUAUCGUCCCCUGUGGCAACUCUCGCACGUGGUGAUUGUCGCUCUACAUCGACUCCUCCUGCGACUUUCAUCGGUGAUUAUCGUUCUACACCGGCUCCUCUCACGGCCCCCAUCGGAUGUGUUGAUGCAUAUGACUCUAUUGACCCGCGUCUUCCUUUGGCGCUUGGGGCUUGUCUGCAUGUGCCCUCGUCUCCUUCACCGGCCUCUACGGAUGAUGUUGGUUAUGCUAUGUCGCCUCCUCUGGCGGCUUCCACAGGUGGUGGUGGGCCUGGUGGCCGCUCCUCUCCCAGUGCUACUGCGUCGUCUACUUCAGCUAUGUACUUCACCGAGCAGGAGAUUGUGGGACUUCGUGGUUUGCUGACCGCCUCCGGCUCUUCAUUGCCGGGUGCAUCUACGUCGACCUCUUCAGUUGAGCUCCUGACUGAGCAGGAGAUUACGCGCCUUCGGUGCUUGCUCGCUGCAUGCUCUGGUUCUUCACCGACGAGUUCUGCUGGUUCUGCUACUGACUCCUCUGGCAUUGUGAGACCACCUUCAACACAGUCAGGUACAUCUCCAUGGAUUCUUGAUACUGGAGCAUCUUUUCAUAUGACUCAUGAUUCAUCCACCUUGUCUUCUAUUCGUGCUCUUGAUUCUCCUAUUCAUGUUCUUACUGCUGAUGGUACCUCCCUCCCGUUCGAGUGCUGAGGCUGAGUUGCGAGCCAUGGCUCUUUUGACGGCAGAGGUGACUUGGUUACGGUGGUUACUUCAGGAUUUUGGUGUUUCUGUCACUACACCGACUCUCUACACUGACUCUGCUCUUAUCUGACAGUACAGGUGCUAUUAGCAUUGCGCGCGAUCCUGUGAAGCAUGAGCUCACCAAGCAUAUUGGUGUUGAUGCUUUCUAUGUGCGCGCUGGUGUGCAGGAUCAGGUUAUUGCUCUUCAGUAUGUGCCUUCCGAGUUACAGUUGGCGGAUUUCCUGACGAAGGCCCAGACUAGAGCACAACAUGGCUUUUAUCUCUCCAAACUCAGUGUUGUUCAUCCACCAUGAGUUUGAGGGGGGGUGUUAAGAGUUAUAAUAUAAGUCAUGUACCUCUUUGUAUUUAUCCCGUUGUAUAAGGGGUUUCCUGCAUAUGUUCCACACCUGUACAUGUAUAUAUAUCGGCCUAUGGCCUCAUGGGAAUACAAGUUGCAUAUUUCCUAACAGCAACAUUAUGUACCUUUCUUAUGCUAUCCACAUCUACUCUGCUAUCUAUGUGCUCAAAUCUUCAAGUGCGGCUAAUUUAGAAUGGUCCACCAAAUCUCAAAAAAAAAAUACACAUAACAAUGAACUAUAGCCAAUGCAAAAAAAAAUGUUAAAUUAACACAAGGAGUAAUAAGUUCAUUCUGCCAGACAAAAAAUAAUCUCUUAAUUCUACUAAUUAGUAUUUAUGUUUAUGCAGGGCAAGUAACUCAAGAGAAAAGGCAAAAGAGGCAAGACGACAUAGGAAAAGAAUAAUGCAAGCCAAGAAGCUUGCACAAAUAUCGACAAAAGAAGGAGAAAUGAUUGGCCAGGCUGGUAAUACUAUGAGGUAACGAACAAGAAAUUACAAUCAGGAUCUAAAAUUUGGAGAUUCGUGAAUCUGAUAAUUUCUGCUAUGUGCGUGUACAACUCAAAAGGUAAUAAAAUAUCUACUACAUCAAAAUCGGUGAGAAAGAAACAAAGACAACAUUUGUAAGUUCUAUCAAGUUUUUAUACUAUCAACAACACCAGACAUUAAUAAUGUUUCAAUUUAUGCUAAAUCCAAAACUUUAACAGGCAAUCAGAGAGGACUGAUAUGGAAAUUUGGAACUUCGGAAAACCCAAAUGCAAGUGUGAAUGAUGCGGUGCAAUUUUCUGGUAUGAAGAAAGAACUUCAGGUAGAGCGAAAAGCAUGCCAUCUUUUGGACUAUGCUGCCAACAUGGCAAGGUUGAGUUGCCACCAUUAAGAGAGCCACCGACUUACCUAGUGAAAUUGCUAAGGAAAGACAACGGAAAGACGUCAAAAAACUGCUUGCAAAAUAUCAGAUUGUACAACUCCAUGUUCGCUUUCACAACAAUGGGAGGAAAAGUAGACAAAGAAAUAAACAAUGGCAGUGGGCCAUAUGUUUUUAGAAUGAAUGGGCAGAACUACCACAGAAUAGGUACUCUAUUGCCUGAAGGUGAAGAUAAACCACGUUGGGCACAACUGUACAUCUAUGAUAAUGAAAAUGAGGUAAGAAACAGGAUUAAUGCUUCGACAAGGGAAGAUAAAAGGGAGUCAAUAGAUCCUCACAUCGUAGAGGGCCUUAAAAAUAUGCUUGAUAGAGAUAACAUACUUGCAAAAACUUUCAGAAUGGCAAGGGACAGAUUCGAAGAAGGUGACUAUCAAAACGUGAGAUUAAAAGUAAUCAAUAAGCGACGCUCAGAUGGAAGACGAAGUGACAUGCCAUCUGCAAGUGAAGUUGCAGCCUUGAUUGUCAAUGAUGCCACGGAAAGUAGAAAAGGACGGGAUAUCAUUGUUGAGUACAAAAACAUGAAGCCAAGAAGAAUAUCAGAGAACCAUCCAAAAUUCAUGGCUAUGCAGUAUCCACUAUUGUUCCCAUAUGGAGAAGAUGGGUACAGACAAAAUAUACCUUACAUAUUAAAACAAGGUGCAAAAUGUAAGAGAAAGCAUGUAACAAUGUUGGAAUACUAUGCAUAUCGUCUACAACAACGUACUAACCAAUCGAUGCACUUGCUGGUGUGUGAAAAGCUUACAUUGCAGUUCAUUGUGGAUGCCCUUGCAUGCAUUUUGCAGUAGACUGGACUGGGUAAAAAAUAAUCAAGGAAACCUACGAACGGAAUUAUAUGCUGGCUUACAGGAUGCAAUAGAAAGAGGAGAUACAAGGGCUGACCAAGUAGGAAAAAGGAUACUGCUGCCAUCCACAGUCACAGAUAGCCCUAGAAGCACAAAACUUCCAAGAUGCUAUGGCAAUAUGUCGGUGGGCUGGAUACCCAGACCUAUUUGUGACAUUCACGUGCAACGCAGCAUGGCCGGAGAUUGAGGCUAUGCUACACAAAGUAGCCCAAACAGCAUACGAAAGGCCUGAUAUUGUUGAUCGAGUAUUCCACAUAAAACUCAAGGAGUUCAUGAGAGAUAUAAGAGAAAGGGAAUACUUCGGAAAAACACUCACAAGUAAUAUAUCAUACUGACUUUAUCAAACAUCUUAUUUAAUUGCCUGAACUAACUGUUAUUUUAUAAAAUUGCAGUUAUAUACACAAUAGAGUUUCAAAAAAGGGGCCUCCCACAUGCCCACAUAGUCAUAUUCCUCGACAAAAAGGAAAAGAAACACAAGUAUCCAGAGCCAUCAGAGGUAGAUAGAGUAACUUGCGCAGAGAUACCAGACAAGGAAAUUGACCCAGAAGGAUAUGCAGCUGUGGAAAACUACAUGAUGCACGGGCCAUGUGGUGCAGCAAACACAAAGUCACCAUGCAUGGUCGACAACAGAUGCAUAAGAAAGUUCCCCAAAAAAUACAACAACAAUACCACUGUCGAUGAAGAUGGAUACCCAGUAUAUAGAAGACGAGACGAUGGAAGAUUCAUACAGAAAGGGGGAAUAAAGUUGGAUAACAGAUACGUAGUCCCAUACAACAGAAAUCUGCUGGUGAAAUAUCAAGCACAUAUAAAUGUCGAGGUGUGCAACAGAUCUUUAUCCAUAAAAUACCUUUUUAAAUACAUAAAUAAAGGUGAUGACCAAGCAACAGCACUAAUAGAAAACGAUGAGAUAAAAAGGUACCUAGAAUGCACAUAUAUAACAGGGAAUGAUGCGUGUUGGAGAACAUUCCAAUUCAAAAUGCACUUCAGAGAUCCCUGCGUCGAAAGGUUGCCUUUCCACCUGGAAAAUGAGCAACAAGUAAUUUUCUCAGAUUCUACAGAUUUAACCAAGAUAGUCAGGAAAGAAAGAGUAGGAAUCACUAAAUUUACACAGUGGAUGGAGACAAACAAGAUGUGUGAAGAAGCCAGAGAAUUAACAUAUGCAGAAUUCCCAUCAAAAUGGGUGUGGAAAAAGAAAGAGACAAAGUGGAGCAAAAGGAAGAAAGGAAGAUCGGUUGGAAGUGUUAGAGUUAUAAUAUAAGUCAUGUAUACCCCUUUGUAUUUAUCCCUAGUAUAAGGGGUUUCCUGCAUAUGUACCACACCUGUACAUGUAUAUAUAUCGGCCUAUGGCCUCAUGGGAAUACAAGUUGCUUAUUCCUAACAUGGUAUUAGAGCUUUAGGUCUCUUUUUCGCACGCGCAACUCGUGCUACGAUCCCAUCCCCUCCGCCGCCGCGGUUUAUCUUCGCCUUGGCGUCGCUGCUGUGCCCCUCCAGCCGCCGUCGUCCGUCCCUCCCGUGGUCGUCCGCUCCUCCCGUGGUCGUCCGCCCCUCCCGGAGCCUCCUGCCCGGACUCGUACGCCCCUCACGCCAGGCGCCGUCGUCUGCCCCUCCCGCCAGGACUCGCCAGGCGCCGUCGUCCGCCCCUCCCGCCCGGACUCGUGCGCCCCUCACGCCAGGCGCCGUCGUCCUCCCCUCCCGCCUGGAUUCUUUUGACGGCAGAGGCGCUCGUGCAGCAGGGCCUCUGGCCGCCGUUCGCUCGUGGUCCUCUGGCCAGGUCCCUCUCCUCCCGAUCGUCUACUGCUGUCGUCUAAGGUCUGCUGCGCCGGAUCUCGCUCCCAGCCGUCGUCCUCGUCCGGCCUCUGCUAUUUUCGGAUCUUUGCAAAAAAAAAAAACAUGUCUGCUUCAUCAGGCUACGUUGCUGUCCCUCGCUGUCCGGUGAUCUUCGAUGGUACCAACUACACCGAGUUCGCUGGCUUCAUGCGCAUUCACAUGCGUGGCAUUCGUCUCUGGGAUGUUCUUUCUGGCGAGGUCUGCUGUCCGCCACGUCCGGUCCCUCCGGUGGCCCCUACUCCGCCGACUUCACUGGUUCUUCCUCCGGACGCUACUCAGGCCGCCAAGGAUGCGGCUAAGAUUGCUGAUGAGGCUGCUGAUCGUGCCUAUGAUGAGAGGGCUUUGGCUUAUGAGGAGGCUCUUCAGACGUAUCAUGGUGCUUUGUCUGUUUACACCCAGUGGCUUGAUGAUGAUGCUCGUGCUGCAGCUGUUCUCACUGCUAGUGUUCUGCCUCAGUUUUCUUCUGAGUUUCUGGGUCUUCCUACUGUCUUCCAGAUGUGGACCUGUCUUCGUCAGCGCUAUGAGCCCUCUGGUGAUGCCUUAUACCUUUCUGUGGUUCGUCAGGAGCAUGCUCUUCAGCAGGAUGACUCUACUGUUGAUGACUUUUAUGCACAGAGUUCUGCUAUCUGGCGCCAGCUUGAUUCUCUCCGCAGUGCUGGUUGUCGUACUUGCCCCUGCUGCCAGGCUGUCCAGGCCGAUUUGGAGUUUCAUCGCGUCUACGAGUUCCUGUCUCGGCUCCGUAAGGAGUUUGAGCCCCGGCGUGCUCAGUUGCUUGCUCGUGGCCGUAUUUCUCUCAUGGAGGCGCUUUCCGAGAUUCGUGCUGAGGAGACUCGCCUACGUGGUGCUGGUUUGCUGGAGGUUCCCUCUGUGCUCGCUACUCGGGUUUCUUCCACUCCGCCGGCUGCACCGCCCCAUUCUCGCUCGAGUGCUCCGCCGCUCUUGCCCACUCCUUCUGGAGGCUCAGGUCGGCCCCGUUCACAUUGUGACUACUGCAACAAUGAUGGUCAUAUUGAGUCCCAGUGCUACACAAAGCGGAAACACCUGCGCAAGGCGCGAUCAUCCUCCUCAGGGACUUCGUCAUCUCCCUCGCCAGCUUCAGCCAUUGCUUUGACCGAGCAGGAUAUUCUGAGACUUAAGCGUCUGCUCGCGGCUUCAGGUUCUUCCUCGACGGGUACUGCUGGUUCUGUGACUGAUGCUUCCCGCACUGAGCACCCGCCCUCUACACAGUCAGGUACAUCCCCAUGGGUUCUGGAUUCUGGAGCUUCUUUUCAUAUGUCUUCUCAUUCUUCCGCUUUGUCUUCUCUUCGUUCGCUGGAUUCUCCUGUUCAUGUCUUCACUGCUGAUGGUACUCCACUUUCUGUUGCUAGUAGAGGCCAUCUUUCUACUCCUUAUUCUGUUCCUGAUGUUGCUCAUGUUCCACGACUUACCAUGAAUCUGUUUUCUGCCGGUCAACUUACUGAUUCUGGUUGUCGUGUCAUCCUUGAUGUUGACUCUUGUUCUGUCCAGGAUCGUCGCACGCACACUCUGGUUGGGGCUGGCCCUCGCCGCCGUGAUUCUCAGGGUCUUUGGGAGUUGGACUGGCUUCAUGUUCCUUCCGCUGCCACCACCAUGCCAGUCCCUCCGCUGCUGUCGCCUCUAUUACUGGGUCCUUCAAGCAGUGGCAUCAUCGACUUGGUCAUCUGUGUGGUUCUCGGUUAUCGUCUUUAGUUCGUCGAGGUCUUCUGGGGUCUGUCUCAGGAGAUGUUUCUUUAGAGUGUCAGGGUUGUCGUCUUGGCAAGCAGAUUUAGUUACCAUAUUCCCAUAGUGAGUCAGUGUCUAAGCGUCCUUUCGAUUUAGUCCAUUCUGAUGUAUGGGGUCCGGCUCCUUUCGCUUCGAAAGUUGGCCAUAAAUACUAUAUUAUUUUCAUCGAUGAUUUUUCUCAUUACACAUGGCUUUAUUUCAUGACUUCACGUAGUGAGGUGUUGUCUAUUUAUAAGCGUUUUGCUGCCAUGGUUCAUACUCAGUUCUCUUCCCCCAUUCGUGUUUUUCGUGCUGACUCCGCUGGUGAGUAUAUCUCUAAGAUGUUGCGUGGUGUCCUUGCUGAGCAGGGUACUCUUGCCCAGUUCUCUUGUCCUGGUGCUCAUGCUCAGAAUGGCGUGUCUGAGCGCAAGCAUCGUCACCUUCUUGAGACGGCUCGUGCUAUGAUGAUCGCCGCCUCUCUUCCGCCUCAUUUUUGGGCCGAGGCUAUCUCCACUUCCGUCUAUCUCAUCAACCUUCAGCCAUCUGCUGCUUUGCAGGGUGGUGUUCCUUUUGAGCGUCUGUUUGAUCGUUCUCCCGAUUAUUCGAUGCUUCGCUUGUUUGGUUGUGUUUGCUAUGUUCUUCUUGCCCCUCGCGAACGCACCAAACUGACUGCUCAGUCUGUUGAGUGUGUCUUCUUAGGCUACAGUGAUGAGCAUAAGGGCUAUCGUUGUUGGGAUCCUGUCGGUCGUCGGAUGCGUAUCUCUCGAGACGUGACUUUUGAUGAGUCUCGUCCUUUUUACCCACGCCCAUCUUCCUCGGUCUUUUCCGUGGAGGAUAUCUUUUCUCACUUUUCCUGACUCCCCUAUCACUCCCGUCGCGCCUGUGCCUAUUCGUCCCACUCCCUCUGCUUCUUCACCCCUCGUCGAUUCACCGCCACCAUCUUCCCCGGUCUCCUCACCUAGCAUGUCACCGGAUUCUACACCUUCAUCUCCGGUGACUUCUUCGUCGCCACCCCCUGAUUCUACCUUGGCGAUUCCUCCUUCUCUUGUUCCAUCUCUUCCUCAGCAUUACACUCGUCGUUCACGGCCUGUGGAUGCUUCCUUGGAUGAGUCGUCCUCUUCCUCUCAGCCUACUUAUGGCUUGCGUUCUCGUCCUCGUCCGCCUAUUGAUCGCUUUGGAUUUCCCACCGCUGGUGCUGCUGUUCUUGAGCCGACUUCUUACCGUCAGGCUGUUGUUCAUCCUGAAUGGCAGUUUGCGAUGGCAGAGGAGAUUGCUGCUCUUGAACGCACUGGUACCUGGGAUCUUGUUUCUCUUCCUCCCGGAGUCCGUCCCAUCACUUGUAAGUGGGUCUACAAGGUUAAGACUCGCUCCGAUGGUUCUCUUGAGCGUCACAAAGCUCGUCUCGUGGCUCGUGGUUUUCAGCAGGAGCAUGGUCGUGAUUAUGACGAGACUUUUGCUCCUGUGGCCCAUAUGACCACUAUUCGUACACUUCUUGCUGUUGCCUCUGCACGCCACUGGUCUAUAUCUCAGCUUGAUGUUAAGAAUGUCUUUCUUAAUGGUGAGCUGCGUGAGGAGGUGUACAUGCAGCCACCACCUGGGUAUUCUGUUCCUGAUGGCAUGGUGUGUCGUCUUCGUCGCUCUCUCUAUGGCCUUAAGCAAGCCCCUCGUGCCUGGUUUGAGCGUUUUGCUUCUGUGGUCACUACUGCUGGUUUUUCAGCAAGUGCUCAUGAUCCCGCAUUGUUUAUUCACCUUUCUCCUCGUGGCCGGACUCUUCUUCUUCUCUAUGUUGAUGAUAUGGUCAUCACUGGGGAUGACCCCGAGUAUAUUGCCUUUGUAAAGGCUCGUCUUAGUGAGCAGUUUCUUAUGUCUGAUCUUGGACCUCUUCGCUACUUUCUUGGGAUUGAAGUCUCUUCUACCUCUGAUGGCUUUUUUAUAUCCCAGGAAAAGUAUAUCCAGGAUCUUCUUGCUCGUGCUGCUCUUUCCGACGAGCGCACUGUUGAGACUCCUAUGGAGCUCAAUGUUCACCUCCGUGCUACUGAUGGUGAUCCUCUCCCUGACCCGACGCGUUAUCGUCAUCUCGUUGGCAGUCUAGUCUAUCUAGCUGUCACUCGUCCGGACAUCUCUUAUCCGGUUCAUAUUCUGAGUCAGUUUGUCUCUGCUCCCACAUCGGUUCAUUAUAGUCAUCUCCUUCGUGUUCUCCGAUAUCUUCGGGGCACGAUCUCUCAUCGUCUCUUCUUUCCUAGCUCCAGCUCUUUACAGCUUCAGGCCUAUGCGGAUGCUACGUGGGCUAGUGAUCCUUUUGAUCGCCGUUCGCUUUCUGCUUACUGUGUUUUUCUUGGCGGAUCUCUCAUUGCCUGGAAGACGAAGAAACAGAUUGCAGUUUCCCGUUCGAGUGCUGAGGCUGAGUUGCGAGCUAUGGCUCUUUUGACGGCAGAGGUGACUUGGUUACGGUGGUUACUUCAGGAUUUUGGUGUUUCUGUCACUACACCGACUAUGCUCUUAUCUGACAGUACAGGUGCUAUUAGCAUUGCGCGCGAUCCUGUGAAGCAUGAGCUCACCAAGCAUAUUGGUGUUGAUGCUUUCUAUGUGCGCGCUGGUGUGCAGGAUCAGGUUAUUGCUCUUCAGUAUGUGCCUUCCGAGUUACAGUUGGCGGAUUUCCUGACGAAGGCCCAGACUAGAGCACAACAUGGCUUUUAUCUCUCCAAACUCAGUGUUGUUCCUCCACCAUGAGUUUGAGGGGGGGUGUUAGAGUUAUAAUAUAAGUCAUGUAUACCCCUUUGUAUUUAUCCCGUAGUAUAAGGGGUUUCCUGCAUAUGUACCACACCUGUACAUGUAUAUAUAUCGGCCUAUGGCCUCAUGGGAAUACAAGUUGCUUAUUCCUAACAGGAAGGAUAUAUUAUGCCCAUCCAGCAAGUGGACAAAAAUACUAUAUGCGAAUGCUACUUAACGUCAAGAAAGGAUGCACAUGUUUUGAAGACAUAAGAACAGUUAAUGGAGUUGUCCACGCAUCAUACAAAUCUGCUUGUGAAGCACUAGGAUUUCUUGAUGAUGACAAAGAGUGGCUUGAGUGCAUCAAGGAGGCAUCAAAUUGGGCGACUGGCAACCAGCUAAGGUAGCUAUUCACAACAAUUUUAAGCCACUGCGAAGUCACAAGCCCAAAAAAACUGUGGGAAUCAUGCUCGGAGGUAUUAAGCGAAGACAUGGAGUACAAACAGAGAAAAUUAUUGAACUAUCCUACACUAUGCCUCACAGCAUCACAGAAGCAAGGACACGCCUUGGUGGAAAUAGAGAAGCUCAUGAGACAAGCUGGAAGAACACUUAAGGAAUACCCCAGAAUAGAACUUCCAAAUUCUUCGGAAAUAAAGGAACUUGGAAACAAGCUACUAAAUGAAGAAAUUAAUUACGACAAAGAGCAGCAAAGAGAAGAGCAUUUGAAGAUCUUUGGUAGUCUCAACUAUGAACAACGUCUUGCAUUUGACACAAUAAUGGAAUCUGUUGACAAUGAUUUUGGAAAACAAAUUUUUGUGGACGGAUAUGGUGGGACAGGUAAGACAUACCUAUGGAAGGCGAUCACAACAAAGUUGCAUUCUGAAGGGAAGAUAGUACUAGCAGUUGCAUCAUCUGGUAUUGCAGCACUGCUUCUAGAAGGAGGGAGAACAACACACUCGAGGUUCCACAUUCCACUAAUCCUUACAGAAGAGUCAACAUGUGACAUCAAACAGGGUUCACACUUGGCACAACUACUAAAAAAGACGUCGCUAAUACUAUGGGAUGAAGCUCCAAUGGCAAACAAGAUAUGUUUUGAGGCGCUAGAUAGGACUCUAAGGGAUAUAUUAAGACAUAAGAGUGAGAACAGCAGCGACAGGCCAUUCGGUGGCAUGACAAUGGUUCUAGGAGGGGACUUCCGCCAGAUCCUUCCUGUUAUACCAAAGGGAAGAAGACACAACAUAGUCACUGCAUCCAUUAAAAUAUCUUACCUUUGGAAGAACUUUCAGGUAAUGAAGCUAACAAAGAACAUGCGGCUGAACUGCACAACAAAUGAUGAAUCCGAGAAACAAAAGAUAGCAGAAUUUGCAGAGUGGAUUCUCAAUAUCGGCGAUGGAAAAAAUACAUCAUCAGAAGGUGAGGAAUUGAUAAAAAUACCAAAUGACAUACUUCUCAAGAAAGGAAAUGAUCCCAAAAAUACAGUUGUGGAGAGCAUAUAUCCCAAUUUGCAGGAGAGGUAUCGCCAACGAGAAUACUUAGAAGAAAGAGCAAUAUUAUGUCCAAGAAAUGAAACAGUUCACGAUAUAAAUGAGUAUAUAAUGGAUCAGAUACAAGGUGAAGAGAAAACUUAUCUAAGCUGUGACACAGUAUGCAAAGCAACUACCUUCAAUGCAGAAACAGAAUUAUUAUAUCCAACGGAAUUCCUGAAUAGCUUACCAUUUCCUGGAAUCCCAAAUCACGAGCUGAAAUUAAAAGUCGGCAUACCUGUGAUGCUACUACGUAAUAUCAACCAAAGUGCUGGUUAUGCAAUGGUACAAGGAUGACGAUUACUCAGCUUGGAAGAAGAUUCAUUGAAGCACAGAUAAUAACUGGAACCCAUGUGGGAGAAAAGGUAUAUGUUCCAAGAAUAGUGAUGUAACCAACUGAAUCAGCGUGGCCAUUUGUUCUAAAAAGGCGACAAUAUCCUAUAUCAGUUUGCUUUGCUAUGACUAUCAACAAGAGCCAGGGACAAUCUCUAAAUAGAGUAGGACUAUAUCUGCCUAAACAAGUUUUCACACAUGGACAGUUAUACGUAGCCUUCUCAAGAGUAACAAAAAGGGAGGGACUGCGGGUAAUGGUAGAUGAUGAAGAUAGCAAUGAGGAUGAUGUGGUCAAGAACAUAGUCUAUACAGAGAUAUUCUGAAGGUAUGAACAAAUAACAGAAUUUCAGCAUGAUGUUUCUUUAACUAGAUGAGGCAUUACUAUUACGUAAGAAUUACAUAUAUAGGAACUUACUACACUGCAAAAUCUAUUACAAAUAGAGUCUGACUUAACUAUGCUAACAUGAUAUGGCAGGUCAAAUAUGGUCUACUACACUGCCAAAGUAAUGCAAACAUGCAUCAACAGGUGGAAAUACUACAUUACUACCAAACAUCAAAGAUCUAUAUUAUGUAAUACUUGAUUCUAUAAGCUUAUUAUAUUUCAUAAAAACAAAUAGAAAAAGCAUCGGGACGUUGUAAUAUUGCAUAUGUACAAUGCUAUCAGACCUGUUUUCAUAUUCAGCUAUUAUCUAUUAAUUUUUGUACGCGUCGAAACGGUUCAUUACUACCAAACAAUGACAAAAUAUAUUAUCUAAAGUUUUAUUGUACGAGCUUAAUAUUUCAUGCAAACCAAUAGUGAAAGCAUGGGAAAAUUAUUAUAAUUCGUAUUAAUAUGCAAUCAGACUGGUUUCCAUAUUAAAUACAGUAUACUCUGGGAAAUAUUUCAACUAUAGCCAAUCAAAACUCUACAAAUUCUUUGAUAAGUGUGUUCAAUAUUAGCAGGGGUAGGGGGGUCUAACACUGCCAAUGCCGGUCCCAAGCCCGGAAAAAAGUGGAGGGGGCCAAAAACAAACUAACACUACACCUCACAUAUUGAAUGUAAUAACGUCUUAUAUUAUGGGAGAGAGGGAGUAUUUCGCAUUCACAAAAUACUAUCAUCAACCAAAAAAAAGAACAGCCAGUAUACAUGAUCAUGCAAUGAAUAUAUAUAGUACUAAUUUCCACUGGUGUGUCUACCCAAAUAUAUAAUUACAUUACUUAAUUUCUAUUUUUUGGCGGGAUACUUACAUUACAUAUUACUAUCUACACUGUACCAAAUUAAACACUUGAAGAUCACUUAAAAGAGAAAACUAUGCUAACGUGAUACAAGCAACUGUUGGUACCGCUGAGCAAAUGUAUUUUUUUUUACCAAUGAAAACGUGAGUUUUAUUCCACUGAAAUAGGAUUACAGUCGCUAAGACAAAUUCCGAAGCAGAGUUUGCUACAGAUCGCACCCAACGAGUAGUGCUACCCCAGAAUGGCCAAAAUUAGAAAACCAUAUUUUCAUUGAGCCCACGUAUCUUAAUUUAAGUAAAUCAAACGCUUGGGGAAGAAAACAACACUACCAUCCUCAUACUAAAGCUAGAUCCAAGAAAAUUGCAGACCUGCGGGAGAUGAAAUCCAUGACCGAAUCAGUUGCACAGAAGACAACAUCAACGGCACUGUGCAGAUCAACAAUCUCGCCUACUCCCUGUCGCAACAGAUCCUUGGGACAUGAUACCCCUCCGCCGCCAUUUACCAACCUACAGCAGGUGUAUGAGGAGGAAAACUAGCCGCCGUCGAUGGUCUCCCUGUGGAAGCACCAGGUGCGGGGGUGGACUCAGGUUA